Ricinus communis (castor bean) is the source of this 106-nucleotide non-coding RNA. The record is from Rfam. Lineage: Eukaryota; Viridiplantae; Streptophyta; Magnoliopsida; Malpighiales; Euphorbiaceae.
UAUCCAUAAUGUGGCCAUUGAUAUAAAAAUGAUUUAAAGCAAUCUCAUGCUUCAUGAUAAGAUUCAGUAUCCUUUUGAUAAAAAUUAAAAAUUUAAUCCUUAGUUU